AGCGAACGCUGGCGGCAGGCUUAACACAUGCAAGUCGAACGGGCGUAGCAAUACGUCAGUGGCAGACGGGUGAGUAACGCGUGGGAACGUACCUUUUGGUUCGGAACAACACAGGGAAACUUGUGCUAAUACCGGAUAAGCCCUUACGGGGAAAGAUUUAUCGCCGAAAGAUCGGCCCGCGUCUGAUUAGCUAGUUGGUGAGGUAAUGGCUCACCAAGGCGACGAUCAGUAGCUGGUCUGAGAGGAUGAUCAGCCACACUGGGACUGAGACACGGCCCAGACUCCUACGGGAGGCAGCAGUGGGGAAUUUUGGACAAUGGGCGCAAGCCUGAUCCAGCCAUGCCGCGUGAGUGACGAAGGCCUUAGGGUUGUAAAGCUCUUUUGGCGGGGACGGAUAAUGACGGUACCCGCAGAAAAAGCACCGGCUAACUCUGUG
Molecule: ribosomal RNA, 436 nt
Filed under: uncultured bacterium
Lineage: Bacteria
Description: bacterial SSU rRNA
Rfam family: Bacterial small subunit ribosomal RNA
Source: RNAcentral